RNAcentral lists this unclassified non-coding RNA (354 nucleotides) under Hevea brasiliensis (rubber tree). The record is from RNAcentral. Lineage: Eukaryota; Viridiplantae; Streptophyta; Magnoliopsida; Malpighiales; Euphorbiaceae.
GAAGUCUGUUUAAGCUAGGUGAGCUAUCAUCAGUGGAGUGACUGUAGUUCUCAGAUUCAGCAAAGUUCAAUUUUGCAUGUGGCAGAACAGGCAACGAGCUAGAAAACAAGCUUGCAUCAGUUGAUGGAUGAUGUGCAGCUGUUCCGAGGUGAAUUUUCCAAGCAUUCGUCUCUACACCAGAAGUCUUUGCUGAUGGAACUUCAGAAUCAUCUGAAAUGAGUUUCUUUAGAGACUUCUCCAUCUAGUCAGUUUCUCAUAGAUGAUGAAAAGUUGAUUAAAGUUGGGAAAAUCACAAACUGCCAAAAGAACAACUUCCUUCUCUCCCGGCGGGACACUAGUUAAGAGAGAGAGAAA